UUAAGCUAUAAAGAGCAUAGGGUGGAUGCCUAGGCACUGAGAGCCGAUGAAAGACGUGAUAAGCUGCGAUAAGCUGCGGUAAGGAGCAAAUAUCCAUUGACCCGCAGAUUUCUGAAUGGGGAAACCUACGCAAGAAGACCUUGCGUACUCAUGCAUGAAUACAUAGUGUAUGAGAGGGAACCCGGGGAACUGAAACAUCUAAGUACCCGGAGGAAGAGAAAGAAACAUCGAUUUCCUGAGUAGCGGCGAGCGAAAGGGAAAGAGCCCAAACCAGAGGAUUUAUCCUUUGGGGUUAGGACUGCAUAAUUGAUCUGCAAUUGAUAGGAGAACGGUCUGGGAAGUCCGGCGAGAAAGCGUGAAAGCCGCGUAUCCGAAAUCGAAAGCAGCAAGGCAGGAUCCAGAGUACCACGAGACACGAGAAACCUUGUGGGAAUGAGCGGAGACCACUCCGUAAGGCUAAAUACUACUCAGUGACCGAUAGCGCAUAGUACUGUGAAGGAAAGGUGAAAAGGACCCCGGGAGGGGAGUGAAAGAGAACCUGAAACCCUGUGUUUACAAGCUGUCGAAGCACGCAAGUGCGACGGCGUACUUUUUGUAGAACGGUCCGGCGAGUUAUGAUGAGUGGUAAGGUUAAGGACUUAAGGUCCGGAGCCGAAGCGAAAGCGAGUGUUAAAAGCACGGUUGAAUCGCUUAUCAUAGACCCGAAACCGGGUGAUCUAUCCAUGUCCAGGUUGAAGCUGCCGUAAGAGGUAGUGGAGGACCGAACACACAUCCGUUGAAAAGGGUGGUGAUGAGGUGUGGAUAGGGGAGAAAUUCCAAUCGAACCCGGAGAUAGCUGGUUCUCCUCGAAAUAGCUUUAGGGCUAGCCUCUGGUUAGUCUGCCGCAGGUAGAGCACUGAAUUUCCUAGGGGGCGUCAAAGCCUACCGAAGAAUAUCAAACUGCGAAUGGCGGACAGAUGAUGCUGGGGAGUCAGACUGCACGAGAUAAGUUGGGUGGUCAAAAGGGAAAGAGCCCAGACCUACAGCUAAGGUCCCAAAGUGCGUGUUAAGUGGAAAAGGAUGUGGGAUUUCGAAGACAACUAGGAUGUUGGCUCAGAAGCAGCCACACAUUAAAAGAGUGCGUAAUAGCUCACUAGUCGAGAGGUCCUGCGCCGAAAAUGUCCGGGGCUAAAACACAACACCGAAGCUUAGGAAUUCUAAUGAAUUGGUAGAGGAGCAUUGAAGACGGAACGAAGCCAUACCGGAAGGAAUGGUGGACUGUCUUGAAGAGAGAAUGCCGGAAUGAGUAGCGAGAUUGAAGUGAGAAUCUUCAAGGCCGAAUAUCUAAGGUUUCCAGGGUAAAGCUGAUCUGCCCUGGGUAAGUCGGGGCCUAAGGCAAGGUCGAAAGACGUAGUCGAUGGAUAACAGGUUGAAAUUCCUGUACUGCAUCAAAUCAGAAAUGUGGGGACACAUGAGGGAAGCAUGAGCCGGAAAAGGAAAGUCCGGUACAAGCGCAGCAGAGGACAGAUAGGCAAAACCGUCUGUCAACUCAAGGGCGUGAUGUGGAGCGAACCAAAGUAGCGAAGCAUGUGGAGCUUGUGUCGAGAAAAGCCGCUAUAGUGUUUGAUGUACCCGUACCGUAAACCGACACAGGUGGAUGAGGAGAGAAUCCUAAGGCCGGCGGGAGAAGCAUUGUUAAGGAACUCGGCAAAAUGACCCCGUAACUUCGGGAGAAGGGGUGCUCCAGAGAUGGAGCCGCAGAGAACUGGCCCAAGCAACUGUUUAGCAAAAACACAGGUCUAUGCAAAACCGAAAGGUGAGGUAUAUGGGCUGACGCCUGCCCGGUGCUGGAAGGUUAAGAGGAGAUGUUAGAGCAAUCGAAGCAUUGAAUUUAAGCCCCAGUAAACGGCGGCCGUAACUAUAACGGUCCUAAGGUAGCGAAAUUCCUUGUCGGG
RNAcentral lists this ribosomal RNA (1934 nucleotides) under human gut metagenome. RNAcentral describes it as "bacterial LSU rRNA". It matches the Rfam family "Bacterial large subunit ribosomal RNA", at positions 3 to 1976 of the family's 2925-position model. The record is from RNAcentral.